GUGGGGAAUUUUGGACAAUGGGCGCAAGCCUGAUCCAGCAAUGCCGCGUGCAGGAAGAAGGCCUUCGGGUUGUAAACUGCUUUUGUACGGAACGAAACGGUCCGGGUUAAUACCCUGGGCUAAUGACGGUACCGUAAGAAUAAGCACCGGCUAACUACGUGCCAGCAGCCGCGGUAAUACGUAGGGUGCAAGCGUUAAUCGGAAUUACUGGGCGUAAAGCGUGCGCAGGCGGUUUUGUAAGACAGGCGUGAAAUCCCCGGGCUCAACCUGGGAAUUGCGCUUGUGACUGCAAGGCUGGAGUGCGGAAGAGGGGGAUGGAAUUCCGCGUGUAGCAGUGAAAUGCGUAGAUAUGCGGAGGAACACCGAUGGCGAAGGCAAUCCCCUGGGCCUGCACUGACGCUCAUGCACGAAAGCGUGGGGAGCAAACAGGAUUAGAAACCCGAGUAGUCC
RNAcentral lists this ribosomal RNA (450 nucleotides) under uncultured bacterium. RNAcentral's name for it is "partial 16S ribosomal RNA". It matches the Rfam family "Bacterial small subunit ribosomal RNA", at positions 354 to 796 of the family's 1533-position model. The record is from RNAcentral.